This is an RNA transcript of Homo sapiens (human), 624 nucleotides long. It is a transcript of the gene named DnaJ heat shock protein family (Hsp40) member C8, with no coding region annotated. The record is from RefSeq and is marked validated. Lineage: Eukaryota; Metazoa; Chordata; Mammalia; Primates; Hominidae.
AGAAGGGUCACGUGGUGGCUGGGCCGGGGAAAUGGCGGCUUCAGGAGAGAGCGGGACUUCAGGCGGCGGAGGCAGCACCGAGGAAGCAUUUAUGACCUUCUACAGUGAGGAAUAAAGAUGGCAUAUAGCAUACCAGAGAUUCAUUCCAACUAGCAUUCCAACUCUGACAGUGACACCAAGAAUGUUUUCCUGGGACUGCCUGGUGCUUGUUCUCCCUGGCAUUGUCUUCAGGUGAAACAAAUAGAGAAGAGAGACUCGGUUCUAACUUCGAAAAAUCAGAUUGAAAGACUGACCCGUCCUGGUUCCUCUUACUUCAAUUUGAACCCAUUUGAGGUUCUUCAGAUAGAUCCUGAAGUUACAGAUGAAGAAAUAAAAAAGAGGUUUCGGCAGUUAUCCAUCUUGGUGCAUCCUGACAAAAAUCAAGAUGAUGCUGACAGAGCACAAAAGGCUUUUGAAGCUGUGGACAAAGCUUACAAGUUGCUACUGGAUCAGGAGCAAAAGAAGAGGGCCCUGGAUGUAAUUCAGGCAGGAAAAGAAUACGUGGAACACACUGUGAAAGAGCGAAAAAAACAAUUAAAGAAGGAAGGAAAACCUACAAUUGUAGAGGAGGAUGAUCCUGAGCUG